UACGGAGGGUGCAAGCGUUAUCCGGAUUCAUUGGGUUUAAAGGGUGCGUAGGCGGUUUUAUAAGUCAGUGGUGAAAUUAUCGAGCUUAACUCGAUGCCUGCCAUUGAUACUGUAUGACUUGAAUAUUAUCGACGUGGGAGGAAUGCGACAAGUAGCGGUGAAAUGCUUAGAUAUGUCGCAGAACACCGAUAGCGAAGGCAUCUCACGAGGUAAUUAUUGACGCUGAGGCACGAAAGCGUGGGGAUCAAACAGG
Molecule: ribosomal RNA, 253 nt
Filed under: uncultured bacterium
Lineage: Bacteria
Description: partial 16S ribosomal RNA
Rfam family: Bacterial small subunit ribosomal RNA
Source: RNAcentral